CUUCGACCUCCAAGGAAAACGUUCUUGACAUAGUUGACCUUUGAUGGGGCGUAAUGGUGUGAGGUCCUGACGGACUGAAGAGUUCCAGGUUCCUGAUCCGAAAAUGAGGACAUCCCAUGAGUGAGCAAGGGGAUAAAAUGGCUUUUUUGACGGUAAAGGUUGCCGACCCCUGCUCAACAGUAGAAUCAAAGCAGACAGCAUGGAGUUAGAAACAACCCAGUGAAUCAUAAAAGAGGGGAGGAGGAAGUAUCCUAAUAUGUCUUUACAUCAUUCAUGGAGGUUAUUGCAAACGCAUAAAAACCACCACUGCAGGAAAUGACUUGACAACUGUUAUAAAAGUCGGUUAAAUCUCAUUUUCCGUCCCCUUGCGAUACAUGUUGAAACGACGAUUGCGCUCUUCUCUUUGUGUUUUUUUUUUCUAGCGGAUGAACUAUGAUAUUGGCCACAGCUUUAGCAUCCAGUACGAAAUAGUGAAAUAAAGGCAUUUUUGCUGAUAUUUAGCAACGUUGAUUCCCACAAAUUGCUUCUUCGUGCAACAUUUGUGGUACCUUUGUAGCAGGCGUCCCACGUCCAGAUGGGUUGGCCGAUAAAAGACCUGUAAAUCUGGUGACAAUACAUCAAAUGGGGCCUCCAUGUGGUCAAGAAGCUGCUGGCUUAGCCUCAGUGCCUUUUAUCCACAUUGUAAGCCACUUUCCACAUAAUUGUCUACUCCUUUUUUUUUUUAAAUACUCACCCUACAGAUGACCUACCGGACGUUUUCCUUAGUUGAUGUGUCUUUUUGUGAGAGAGUUAUCGUCUCAACUCAUGCACCUCCCCUUCAGUCACGUCCCAAUUAUUCCUGCAAGCCAUCCAAAUGUCAAAAGUCUCUCCUUUCACAAGUCUUUUUUUUGUGCUGUGAAUUUGGUAAUGAGCACCUGUGGGAUGUCAGUGUGAUCAGAGGGGAGCGGGAUAAACGAGCUCGCGUCGCUCUGACAGAGAUUUUUGCUCAAUAAGACCCCCGAAUCAGACGCUAUAGUGUCUGACCGACGGUACGCACCUUCUCACAGACUCAAGAGUGGCAUUCCCACAACCGCUAAGCUACAACCGAUGCUAGGAUACAAUUGAUGAAUGCACAAUAUGUUGCAUUUUGAACCUGAUGAAUUAUAAUUUGGAUAUGUGAACAUCACCCUGCUACUGCUACUGCUACUGACUUUAUCUCCAAGGCCUCUAACAUGUCAUGUCCAUCUGAUGUUAAUGAUCCUAUCCAUCCUGGUCACUCCCAAUGAGAACCUCAGCAUCCUCAUCUCUGCUACCUCUGUCUGACAUGUCCCAACCAUCUCGGUCUGGCCUCUCUGACUUUAUCUCCAAGGCCUCUAACAUGUCAUGUCCAUCUGAUGUACUUGUUAAUGAUCCUAUCCAUCCUGGUCACUCCCAAUGAUCAGCAUCCUCAUCUCUGCUACCUCUGGU
Molecule: non-coding RNA, 1446 nt
Organism: Doryrhamphus excisus (bluestripe pipefish)
Lineage: Eukaryota; Metazoa; Chordata; Actinopteri; Syngnathiformes; Syngnathidae
Source: RefSeq, a predicted model, not a curated record